UACAAAACCUGCUCAGUCCCUGGGGAAGGGAAAAGGCCCAGACGUAGGACAGGAAGGGCUGCAUUCACAGUUCCUUCCUGCCCGUACAGUGUGAAACGGUGCAACCAUUCUGGGAAACAGUUCUUAAAGAGCGCAACACACGCUCAUCAUAGAACCCAGAGAGCCCACUCCCGGUGCUGAGGCGGGAGAAACGAGGCCGUCCGUGCACACAAAGACACACGCCGUGUCCAUAGCAGCUUUAUUCAUAGGAGCUGCAGACUGGACACAGCCCGAUGCCCAAACUCAGGGACCGGGCAAGCAGUCACUGAUCCACCCCACUUACUCAGCAGCACAAAGGAACAGACGCCCGGAGACAGGGUGACAGGGCUGGGACCUGAGAUUCAUACGCUGAGUGAGGAAAGUCGGACGCAAGAGUACACACUUGUACGGCAACACAUGAAACAGGACACUCCACCUGGAUGUCUUAGGGGAGCCUUGGAUUCGGCCUGCUCACGUCACCAUCACCUCACUGCUCCCCCUCUGGCGUGGUGGUUGCCCCUCAGGCUGGGUUCUCCGGCUGAAGGUUAGCCACCCGUCUCCCAGGCUCUGAGUUCUGACCCCAGGAAUCGUCACCCCAGACCCCCCUCUCUUGGUUCCAAGAUCACCAGGUUUUAUUUGAUUAAAAACAGUGAACUCUCAAGACGGAGGCUCACUCUUCAUCGUCUGCGGUUUUUGGAGCACAGUCCUCUGGUGACGACUCUUCUAGAUGAGGAGGCACAUUUCCAGAGAGGUGUCUUAUAAAAUGCAGUUGUUUUGACUCCUCAGAGCAAAGUGAACCGGGGCGAGGGAGUGCCCCCUUUGGAUUUGCCAAAGCCAGCGAUGAAGGGUGAAACGUGUCAAUCUUUUGAAAGCUCUGGGGACUUUUGCAUUAUCUGAGUGUUUUACUAGGUGCAUUUGUAUUAUUUGGUAGUAGCGGAGGGUGCUGGGUGUUUUUCCCCCAAACGCUGACAACUCCGAAGUCAUUACAUCCAGGAUUCCAUUUCCCCCAUGGCAAGAAAAGGUUGCUAUCUGUCACACACACUUAAGCGCCUGGCAUUUUUCUCAUUUUCUGAUAGGCGCUGCUGCCCCCCCUCCCCCUACUCCUCACCCCUACCUUCACAGAGAAAAGCUGCUGGCUGACAGAUCCCAGCUGCACAGAGAGAUAGCUGAGAAUUUCCAAUAGGGAAGUGUCAUGCUUUGCCAGCUCCGGGGAAGACAGAAUAAUUGGCUGGCAUCACAGACCUGCGUGAUGGUGCAGGAGAAGACAGAUCUGGCAGGGGUCCCCCAGGGGUGGGCUGGACAUCUCCCACAAUGCCAGACUGGAGACUUGCUGGGUCCAGAGAGCUUCAGGCUCUUCAGUGGCCCCUCUUGCCCCUAGGAGCCCCAGAGCACGCCUGCUGCCCGGUGGGAGUCUUUGCAGUCCACCCUGGACCACCAAACCCUUCUCCCCAAGGUCAAGUGGUUGGGGCGGAGGGGUGUUCAAAAGGAAAAGGAAAAGCCCAUCCCCAGUACUCAACUCGGUUGUGGCAGGAAAGAUGGGUGGGGCAGAAAAGACCCCUGUCCUCCUCACUGAAAAGGGAGCCCGGAGAUCUGGAAGAGGGCGCUCACUCUAACCUGACUCCCCAGCUCUGUGCAGGCUGCGGGGAGAAUGGAAAUGCCAGGUGGAGACAGUCUACUCUGACUCAGACUUGGCUCUCAAGGACAGAGACAAGGGCGAGCUUGGAUCUCGGAAGACCAGGCAGAGGAGGGAGGGUCUCAGAGAGGAGCCCCUGACGUGUGCGGAGGGGGCGCUUGCUUGUUUCAUCCCUCCUGAUCACUGCCAGCGCCCACACAGAGCUCUGAAAGGAGCCCCCAGCUCCGGGCCCCUGGGGCCCCUCCUCCUCCUCCAGCCCCAGGUCCAGCUGCUCUGCCUUUGGCUGCUGGUCAUAAGACGUCGGGCAACGCUGUCCAACAGAAACAUAGUUGCCAGCACACACAUAAUUCGGAUUUUUCCAGUAGUCAACAUUUUUUUAAUCCUCACCUGAGGAUGUUUAUUGAUUUUAGAGAGAGAGAAACACCGAGGUGAAUAACAUCCAUUAGUCAUCUCCAGUACGUACCCCAGCUGGGGAAUCAAACCCACAGCCCAGGUGUGUGCCCUGACUGGGGAUUGAACCCACAACCUUUUGGUGCUCCAACCAACCGAACCACCUGGCCAGGGCUAGCGGUCACAUUUUUAAAAAGUGAAAAAAAGACAGGUAAAAUUAAUCUUAGGCAGAUGUUUGGCUUAACCUAGCCCAUCCAGAAUAUUAUCAUUUCAACAUGUAACCGAUACAAAAAUUAAUGAGAUCUUGUACCGUCUCUUUUGUACUAAAUCUUCAAAACCCCCGGUCUAGUUCACUCGUGUCCACCCCUCGGUUUGGAGGAGCUCCAUUCCCGGUGCUCGGCCGCCGCCCACUGCCGGCUCCUGGUUGCCUGUGGGGCCUCGGGGCUUCCCCUGUACCCUACCACUCCCCAGGUGGGCGGUCAUUGGGCUUCCUGAGAGGCUCCAUUCCAGACCCCUUUGCCUUUCCCAGACCCAGGAGCAAAUUGGCCUUUGGGGCUGGGUGGCCAGCUCCCUUCCCUUUGUCUAAGAAGGGAGGCCUGUGGGGAAUCGGAGAGCUCUGGGCCAGGCACCAGAAGGCUCUGCCACUCAGCCUGCUGUGCGACCUGGAGCAAGUCACCACCCCUCUCUGGGCCCUAUUCUCAUUCUCUGUCAGGGGAAGGGUUUCCAUUUGUGACUUCCAAACAGAGAGGUGAUUAUGGACAGGAACCUCAGACAGAAGCCCCUGGUAUAAGUUAGAGGAGAGAGGCCUGCUCCGUUUGAAGAGCGUGAGCAGCUUGGGCACUGCCUCCUCCCUCACCCUCCCUGGAAGCCCUGGAGAACUGGGUGGAAAACCCUGCACCCAGCGUUGGUCCCCAGCCCAUGUAUUCACACUUCAUUGUACAAACACGCAAAACUACACUGUAGGUUGCUUAUGGAUCCCUAUAUAUAAGAGUAUAAAAAUACACAUGUGCUAAAGCCGUGACUUCAAGUUAGUAGCCUCCUCUGAAAGGGGAGGAAGGAGUUGGGUUAGGUAUGGAAUUUUGGUUCUUACUGACAUUUAACUUUUUGACCAAAGGAGACCUAAAGAAAAUAUAGCAAGAUGCUAACAUUUGUUCAAGCUUAG
Molecule: long non-coding RNA, 3203 nt
Organism: Artibeus jamaicensis (Jamaican fruit-eating bat)
Lineage: Eukaryota; Metazoa; Chordata; Mammalia; Chiroptera; Phyllostomidae
Exons: 3
Source: RefSeq, a predicted model, not a curated record